UACAGAGGGGGCAAGCGUUGUUCGGAAUUACUGGGCGUAAAGCGCGCGCAGGCGGCUAUCCAAGUCAGUGGUGAAAGCCCGGAGCUCAACUCCGGAACUGCCAUUGAAACUGUUUAGCUUGAGUAUGAGAGAGGUGAGUGGAAUUCCCAGUGUAGAGGUGAAAUUCGUAGAUAUUGGGAAGAACACCGGUGGCGAAGGCGGCUCACUGGCUCAUUACUGACGCUCAGGCGCGACAGCGUGGGGAUCAAACAGG
This 253-nucleotide ribosomal RNA is filed under the name uncultured bacterium. RNAcentral describes it as "partial 16S ribosomal RNA". It matches the Rfam family "Bacterial small subunit ribosomal RNA", at positions 524 to 776 of the family's 1533-position model. The record is from RNAcentral.